RNAcentral lists this ribosomal RNA (253 nucleotides) under uncultured bacterium. RNAcentral's name for it is "partial 16S ribosomal RNA". It matches the Rfam family "Bacterial small subunit ribosomal RNA", at positions 524 to 776 of the family's 1533-position model. The record is from RNAcentral.
UACGGAGGGUGCGAGCGUUGUCCGGAAUCACUGGGCGUAAAGGGCGCGUAGGCGGCCUGAUAAGUAGGGGGUGAAAUCCUGCGGCUUAACCGCAGGGCUGCCUUCUAAACUGUCGGGCUAGAGCACGGUAGAGGCAGAUGGAAUUCCCGGUGUAGCGGUGGAGUGCGUAGAGAUCGGGAAGAACAUCAGUGGCGAAGGCGGUCUGCUGGGCCGUUGCUGACGCUGAGGCGCGACAGCGUGGGGAGCAAACAGG